CCUACGGGAGGCAGCAGUAGGGAAUCUUCCACAAUGGGCGAAAGCCUGAUGGAGCAACGCCGCGUGGGUGAAGAAGGUCUUCGGAUCGUAAAACCCUGUUGUUAGAGAAGAAAGUGAGUGAGAGUAACUGUUCACGUUCCGACGGUAUCUAACCAGAGAGCCACGGCUAACUACGUGCCAGCAGCCGCGGUAAUACGUAGGUGGCAAGCGUUAUCCGGAUUUACUGGGCGUAAAGGGAACGCAGGCGGUCAUUUAAGUCUGAUGUGAAAGCCUUGGGCUUAACCGGAGUAGUGCAUUGGAAACUGGGAGACUUGAGUGCAGAAGAGGAGAGUGGAACUCCAUGUGUAGCGGUGAAAUGCGUAGAUAUAAGGAAGAACACCAGUGGCGAAAGCGGCUCUCUGGUCUGUAACUGACGCUGAGGUUCGAAAGCGUGGGUAGCAAACAGGAUUAGAUACCCGAGUAGUC
RNAcentral lists this ribosomal RNA (465 nucleotides) under uncultured bacterium. Its description in RNAcentral is "partial 16S ribosomal RNA". It matches the Rfam family "Bacterial small subunit ribosomal RNA", at positions 338 to 795 of the family's 1533-position model. The record is from RNAcentral.